UGGACUGCGAUGCCCUGGAUGCAGCCGUGCAGGUAGGAUACAUCCAAGUUGGAUGUGGUCGUGUUGCAAGCCGUGGUGAGCAGCCAGUGCUUGCAGGCUACUCAAUACUCGUGUGAUGAACAGCCAAGGUAUAGCCUCUUACAGAUUUUAGCCCCAAACGCCUGACAUGUAUGGUGAAGUGUACAGUAAUCUGUUCAUAUCUCAUAUCUAAAGAUGGACACAGAGCAUUCCUGUAAUUACUCAAACGAAGAUGAAAGUCACCAAAUAACAAUUUUUUGGUUUGUUCUAGGUUUGCAUCUCCUUAUGUGCAUCUAUUAGACUUGAGGCAUUUCUCAAAUAAAGCUCAACGCCUAUACAUUCCUGAGAUCAUUAAACUAAGGAACCAAAUGAUGAAACUGGACUAACAUCGAGAAAAGUUUCCUGAUAGUGAAGACGAAUUCCAUGAAGCUCGAUAGUAACAUAAACAAUACUUGUCUUUAUCAGGCAACAUAAUGACAUACAAUCCAACCUCAAAAUGAGCCUACUACAAGGUUCUGAAGUUACAAGCGAAUGAGUCGCUGCAUCAAUUCUGUAUCUGUUGGUUGCUCAAGCACCUAAUUCUUCAUAUGACUUUGAUCGGUGGGUACCCUCACCAGUUUGAUUGGGUCAAAGUUCAAACAACCUACCAGGAGUCUGUCUUGAGACUUGCCAACAGUUGUAGCAGCAAGCAGGUUUAAAUCUAUUAGCCUUUCCAGAUUAACAUCUCAUGCUAUGAGAAUCACAAAAUUGAUUGUAUUCACAGUCACAAGGACCCAUCCUCACCUGUAAUUGCCACCCAGAAUAAAUGAAAUGAGUAGAACAGGAGGAGCAUUGUGGCUCUUAUGAGUGAGUAAAUCUAGAAGGCCAGUGGCAAACCCAAAAUCCAAUGAUGAAGCAAACGGAUAGCAUGCCACGCUAUUGGUAAACUGUUCGGCUAACUCAAUCAAGCAUGCCGUGAAAUGAAUAAAGGAGAACAAACCUUUCGAAAAGUAAAAGAAACCCGCCUUGAACUCCUUUUGAUGACUUGACCACCCACGUCAUCGAUCUAAAAAGAAAACAUGGCACAAACAUUAGUUUACUCUGCAGCGUUGUUAUGUAAUAUAGUUGAAUUAGUGCAUUGUUAAUAAUAUAGAGAAGAAGCAAAACAAUGCAUAGGGUUGGACAUUACGUACUUUAUGAUGCGGUAUAUAGUGAUGCCAGGCAUAUCGGCCUUCUCCUGACAUCAGUAGCAUUGAUCGAGGAGGUAGGAAAAUGGCUUUCCUUGUGCACUCUGGUUCUUGACUGAUAUCUUCAUCAGCUCUGUUGAGCACAAUUGGAGCACGCCAACUGCCUUUAGGAUAUUUCCUGAACUCCAUGAUGCAAGGUCCAGCCAAAGAAAGGCUGAAAAUCAUUUCCUCAAAUGCUGAGUGUGUGUCUAUAUGUGGAGACAAACCUACACCACAAGGAUAUUCGUUUACCUGUGAACACAUGAACAAUUUAAUGCAUUAUUUCAUUUAAAAAUCUAAUGUUGCUACUGACAGACAGCUAAGGUCUCAAAUUCAAAUUACAUCAUGGACCAAGGCAAGAAUAAGAACUCUAUACGCCACCUUCAGCAAAGGAAUAGAUAGAACAGUUGGCGUAUAUGCACUUACUGUCAAUUGAUCAACUAAUCCGGUAGUACAGUUCUUCACACCAGGAAAGGAAGCGAUCUUCUCAAGGACUAUUGAGACAAAAGCCGGUAAUUCACCCAAGAACUGCUUCGAAUCAACAUUCCUUGUCUGUAGAUAUCAAAUACACUUUUUCAUCAUAAAGUUGAGGUAGUCUUCAGCUAAAAGAAAUGGUGCAGAAGUUAUAAAGUUAAUAAAGCUUGGUCACACUACACAAACCUUUGCUAAUUGUUAUCUACAUGCACCAGAAGUGAAAUCAAACUGCAUUUUAUAUUUUUAUUACAAUGUGAAACUUCAGGACUUGAUUAGGUCCAAGAACAUUAUGAAGGAUCAUAAACUCAACACCAAUGCUACACAGCAUAAAACCUACAGGCCAAUGUGUUUCACACUUUUGAGUCUAACCUUUUUGUUGGCAGCAUAAAUGAAGAAUGAUCAUACUCUUUUAACAAAAUAAUAACAUCGGACACUUCUGGUAAUGAGUAGUCUAAUUCAAUUACCGAUGAUGUAAGAACACAAGACAGUCAAAUGGAGCAGAAAAAAUUGCAUCACCCCGAGAUACUUACAAGAUCAAACUUACAUCAUACAGAAACUCAUAACCGUAAUGCUGAACUCGUCUCUUCGCCAAAUUUUUCCAUGGCCUGCUAUCAACAGCUGCAAGUAGCUCCUGCAAAAAGAAGCAAAACACAUAGUACCACCCAGCACAGAGAAAGCAGGGCCAUUUAGCAGGCGCUCAAACUUCGACAACAAAAAGGCGUGACAGACAAUUGGCCAACCUGUUCCUCAGUGGCAGUCACGAACUCCUCAACCAUGUAAAUCCCGGGGAUCCCCAGCUCCGACGCCGAGAGAGACACUAGCAGCGAGCCACCAGGGAGAGCCUUCGGCUUCACGGGCACCGAGUACCGUAUGUGCAGCACGCGCCCCGCAAGGCGGUCGCAGGGGCGUCCGUGGAGCGCGGCCAUAGCAGCCUCCGCGGCGGCGGGCUCGUGGAACCGGACGAUGACGCGGGCGCCGCUGCUGUCGGCGGCCUGGACCUCCGCGACCUCCCCGAAGGCGCCGAACGCCGCGCGGACGGCGGCAUCGGUCACCCCAACCGCGGGUCCGCAGUUGGCCACGUACAGGACGGCGCUGGGGGGCAGAGGGGCGGUGUCCUCGGCAGGCGGGCGUGGACGUGUGUACCCAGACUUCGUCGCCAUCUCUAAGAACUUGCGGCGACGGGGCGCACGGCUUUGGCGGCGAUCCCGGCCGCCGCCGGCGAAAGGGGUGAAGCGAGCCGGCUGCGCGUUCGACAAUCCUGCGGGCCGGCGCUCGUGGAAACUGAAAACACCGUGUGCUGCGCGAUGUGGGUGGGCUCGUGGCAUAACGAUCGUUCAAUCACCAAGCAAAGCCCAAUGCGCAAUGACUGGGCCAAACUGUCAGACGUGCAAAGCCUGUCCUCGACGGAUUGCAAUUUGCAUCGCUUUGCGAGCCCACGGAAUCGUUGGUCAACAUGUUACACAGCACAUCUGAUUUCAAUGCGGAACUUCUACAUUCCAUCAAUACGAUAACAAUAAAUACAAUAAUCAGAACACGCAAAGAAUGCUAUAAUCAUCGAUCAUAUAUUGUAUAUACGGAGUCUUGUCUUAGCAAAGGAUCAGAUGGAGGAAUGGAAUCCAACAACAUCGGGAAAACAACCAACAGCUAGAAACAUCGAAACUCCAAUCUCGCAAGUACAAAUAAUUUAUGCCUGCAAUGAAUCAAUGCCAUUCCUCCGAUCCACGCUAAAAGAUGCUCCCAUAAUCUUUUCUUGCAAGAGAUGGCGGCAGCCCGCUCGAUGUAAACGAGUGCCCUCCUGUUCCACCUGCAGAUUUGAGAUUACUGUUAAUAUUCUUGAAGGACAUGAUUCUUUACUUGCUAAUAAAGAGAAAGAAGUGGACAUUAUUACCCCAGGGCACUCCUUCGCCCAUGCCGUAAGUACUGGGCCACACAGGCUGCCCACUGUGAUGGCUCCCCAUCAGCCGCAUUGGACCAGAAGUUGGCUGAUUGUAUCGCUGCUGAAGAAUUGGCUGUCCAGGACGAGGACGGAGACUUUGCUGAGGAUAACUUGGAGGGUUGUAACCGCCAUAGUUGACGGGAACACUGGAAUGAGAACUCCCUCCUUGAUAGGAGGCACGAAAUAAUUGAUCUCCUCUGUAACCAAAAAGGGUAAUGCAUAUUUGCAGUCUAACAAAGAAAAGCAAAAAGGGAGGCAAGCUCAAAAUAUUCUGACUGGUCAAGGAAAACAAGGAGCACGAAUCGGUCAGGUGGCAAUACCUUUGGUUUGUUGGUACAGGGUUAGAUGUUGCAAAGACAUGGCCUUGGAAAUUCGUUGAUCUAAUAGAUCCACUCGCUUGACGAGUUGCAUCUUCAAGGUGGAGACUGCUACUUAGAUCAGCUGACAAUGAACUAUCUUCUUGCAAUAAUGACUCGUCACUAUGAAAUGGAACAGUGGAUGUAUUAAUAUUACCUUUUGCAAGUUUACAAGAAUCAACUUGAGUAUGCUUUUCCAUACCUAUAAUUAGGGUCCCAAUCAGCAGGAUCAAGUGCUGAUGAAGCUGAUGUAUUUGGUGAGAAGUCAAAUGAGUUGGAAGGAGCCUGCGAAUGGAGGGCCUGCGAAGGCCCGUGACUAGAUGAGGCAUCCAAGGAAAAACCACUUCUUGAACUUAUUUGUGGUCUCCAACUAGAAUGACCAGAACUGGGUCCUGCAUUCUGAGAGUGGCCUGUAUGUCCUCGAACAUAACCAUCAGGAUGACUAAAACUGACACCAUCUCCGUAUCGCACUUGUCCAUGCUGAGAUACAUAAUCAUGUGGCGGCAUUGGCACGUUCCUCCUCAUGUUAUACGGGCCUGCCGUAGCAGCUUUUCCCAAUGGAGAACCAUGAAUGCUUCCACUUGCAGGAGAACCAGAACCAUGCUUCCCAGUAGAAUUAGCUGGGAUUUGCAUCUGGUAGUUUGGUGGGGUAAACUGCGAUGGACUGGCUCCCAGAGACAUAGGUCCUAGACUACCAGGGCUUAAUCUAAUACCUCUAUCAUGUGGGAGACGGGGUCUUAGUCUAAUAUCUGGACUAGAGCCAAUUUGUGUAAAUCCAGAAGAACCUAAGGGUGAGUAAUACAUAUUGCUAGUAUUAACAUCACCAAUGCUUCCAUAGCUGUUAGCAAAACCAGCAUUACCAGUAUAGCUACCAUGGCUACCGAAGCUUCCAUAACUACUCCCAUAAGAUAAGGGCAUCUUUGGAGGAUAGGCAUUAUUCAGAGGUAGGCAUCUGUUCACACUUCCAACCUAGAAAAGUUUAAAAUAUAGGGCACAAUGGUUUAGAAAAGACUCCGCAUAAUUAUUACUUCUAAAGCUCAACUCAGAAGCAGGAAAAGGGAGAAUAGCUAUCACCUGCGGGGAAAGACCUGAAUGUAGCCAGUGGCCACCUCCGGGAUUGUGAUCAAUUGCUGCAGCACGAGCAACAGGCUGAAAUACAAAUGAAAGACAACAAAUUAUGGACAGGAACUGGAGAUUGGUAUCUUGAUCAACAUGCAUGAAAAAUAGUUUUUUGGAUAAAAUUAGACGGUGUAGGUGUGCCCACCAUGCAGGGAAAAUAAUCAUGAGCAUAAUUAUAUAGAUAAAAUGCUGACAUAUUUGAUUUGUUUCUUAAAUAGUGCAUGGAUGUGAUUAAUAUGAACUUCAAAUCAAGGGGGGCUGAUCACCUUUAACUAGGGAACCCACAAUUUCUUCAUCGCAAAAUAGUUUCAAGAAACAAUGUCCAUAUGCUUCCUAUUAUUAUCAAGUUUCCAAGGUAGCUAUUUUUGCAAAGAAAAAAAAAAGAAAAUAGGGCCAUACUCACAAUUCUUGCAGUCUCAGGUACAGGCUCAUAUGGACCGGUGAACGGUUCGCCGGUUAUGAAAGGAUGAAAUAGAGCCUGAAAUUGGUUCCAGUAGCAGAAAUCAAGUUAAUUCCAGAUGACAAAAAUAAGUUAUUCAAAAUAUGAAUUACUUCAUAAUGGAAAAGUUGUAAUUGUGUAGAAAAUGUAAUACAUGCAAAAUCAAUAUAAAUUUAUAAUACCACUAGGCCAAUAGGAUGAAUUAUCUUGACAGGCCCUAAACAUGAGAAUGCAACAUGGAAUUGUGCCAGUAGCAGUAGCCAUACCUGCACCGGUGACCAUCGCUUAUUUGGAUCAAAUUCAAGAAGCCCCUUCAAGAAAUCAACUAAUGCCAAACGAUCUGUUUUUUCUGUCUCUGAAUCAAAAUGCAAGACCUGAGAACAUAAUAUCAAACUUGCAAGCUUUAUUGUAAGAACUCUCAUUUGCAUAUUGAGGAGACCAGCUCAAAAAUGUCAAACAUGAAUUCAAGCAUGCAUUUCUAACUUUAAUUAUCUUCUAUAAUCAUACAAAAGAAUGACAUGAAAGAAAAAGAUGCUUUUAGCAAAGGAAGUACACAACUUAAGAAGACACCAACAUCAUUGUUCACUAAAUAAUAGAAGAAACAUGAAUACAGCAAAGCACUAAAAUUACAGUGACUUGGCUGAAACUAACAAAGAGUAAAUAUGCUAUGCCAAGACAGCAAGGGGCCAAAAUGUAACCUAGAGACUGAAAAUAAAUAAACAAACCUGUCAGUUCUGAAUUGUUCCAAGGAUAGGUAUAAAUGAGUCUGUCAAGCUUUAGCCGUGGGAAGUACCACUUUCCUACCUUUGGCCUCUUGGAUUCUCUCUGUAUUUAGAAAAGAUAGUAAGGCAGUACAUAAUGAACAGAUAUAAAAUAAAAAGAUCCAGGGUUAUUUUAGGUGAAAUCACGAGACACUUACAGCUUCAACCUCUUCUUCACUUAAAAAUCUGUAUGCACUAGAAAUACCAUCAUGUGCCUCACUGCCAGGAAAAAUACUACCGACAUGCUUAAAAAAUCUUCCAGUGUUUUUAGCUUCUCUUAGCAGGUCAUCUGGUGGUUGCCCCCUAAAAAUAUGCCACCAGGUGAUUUAAAUUCGUAGCUGAACAUCGGACCUAAAUAAUGACAUUUGACUACAUGGGACUCAAUAAAACUUUAACAUGCAGCCAUGUUGCGUGCAAAAUGCAGAGUUGGGUGAGAAAACUAUAGAUAAAGAAACUUGCCCAAGAAUCGUAGUCAUUCGCUGAAGCACGUCAUAUUCUGACGCUCCAGGAAAUAGUGGCAAACCAAUAAAUAGUUCAGCAACUAUGCAACCGAAAGACCACAUGUCAAUCGCAGUUGUAUAUCUGGUAAGUGUUAAGGUUCAGGCAAGCUACUUGAAAAUGAACCAAGGAACAUGCCUUAAAGGAAGCAUUUCAUUGAAAAAGUAUAUUAGAAUUAACAAAAGUCACCAAGAAGCUUAAAGUGAAUGAAAUGAAACAACUUCCCAUGCUAUAUAGGAUACGGAUAGCCAAGGAGAACCUCCGGAGACCUGUAAUAGCGGCUCUAAAAAAAUGGAAGAAAAGAACCAAUGUCUUAUUUUUCAAUUAACCAACAAUUACUUAAAUAAGAAAUUAAGAAAUGAUGUCACAGAAGUUCCAAAAAGAAAACCUGGAUAUAUGAGUAAACCGUUUUACCCUCCAGGCAUGCUGAUCCAAAAUCAAUAACUUUCACUGCUGCAGCGGUUGCGACACUGUAAAUUCAUCUUAGACUGUCAAGCUAAAAGUAUUCUUUAAAAUAGUGGACCAAAACCUAAAAAUGGAAAACCCAAUGCUACCUCACCUGGGGGCCAAGAGAAUAUUUUCUGGUUUUAGAUCACAAUGAAUUAUGCCAGCAUCUCGCAUCACAACCAUGGCAUCCAAUAUCUAAAAGCAUAAACAAACAAAAUUUAGUAACAAAGAAGUACUAAAUUGGCAUUCAUACAAUAAAAUAACAGAUAUAUCACCUGUUUUGAGAAGGCCCGCACAUAUUUCACUUUCAGACCUCUUAAGUGGUUCCUUUUCAGUAGUUCAUACCUGAAAUGAGAGUUUAAAGUGCAGUUCGAACAAAAAACUAAUCAAUGGACAAAGCUAUUGGGUAAAAAGCUUUUACAAGAUCAGCUUACAGGUUUUGCCCAAGCAUUUCGAAGGCUAUGCACAGGUGAUUUUGAAAUGAGAGAUAAUCGAGCAUACGGACAAUGUUAUGCUUAUCAUCAGGAUCAAAUUUCUGGUUUAACUGCAAAUACAUCCACAAUUGUAAUGGUGAGUCACCACACAUACUGAGUGAAAUGAAGUUCCUAAUGGACUAUCAUACCGUUCUUAACAGUGAAACCUCCAUGAUAGCUUGAUGGUAAAAUGCAGGCUGGUUUUUUAUCACCUUCACAGCAACAUAGUCAUUAGUUUCUGUGUCCCAGCAUUUGACAACUUGACCAAACGUUCCCUGGCCAAGCAUUUCCUUGACGAUAAACCUGAGUCCCAAAAUAACAAGGUACAUUUCAAUACUAUGAAACAGGCGAAUAUGGCACAUUGAAUGCAAGUCGUAGAAGAGUAACCUUCGGUUUGACAUCUUAUUAACCAAUUCUAGGUUGACAUACAAUAUGAGGUCCCAAUUUGCAUUGUCAAGUCCAUCGUUGUGGGCAGGGAUAGAAGGACUGGUGAGAAAGCGUUUUGGGAUGUUCUCAUCUGAGUACUUAAAUGUAGGAUCACACUGUUGAUAUGUCUGAAUGAUGCCUGCUGUUAAUCUUGCAACAAACUGCAUGGUAAAAAGAGUUAGCCAACAACAGAACAUCAGAGUUUCAAUGGGCUUGAGGAGUGAGGAUCAUAUCAUACGAAAAGAGGAAUUGCAACAAGAGGGCAGAACAUUAGUGUACAUACACAUAAUAAGGAAGAAAACUCAUCAAACAGAAACCCAUAAAGAUGUUUUGUGGAGUAUGAUGUUGGAUUGGUCUACCUCAAACACUCAUCGAAUUUGGAAAGAGCAGAACUACCCAAAACAUUCCUGAGCUAAACAGUAGCAAGGAAUAUGCUAAAGCAACUAGAGGCAAAGGACUAUAUCCCAAAGCAUUCUUAUUAGAUGCUAAAAGGUAGCUAAGCAUUGGAAUUCUUUUGCUCUCAAAUUGAGACCACCCUGUGAUUGUACAAAAUGAGACAUACAGUUUAAUUUGGCACCACAGCAGCACAAGAGUUCACCAACAAACCAGAAAACACUACCAUCUUCCAUGAAAUUCUCAGUCUAAACCAGUCAGCAGCACAAAGAAGAAGGAAUUCAGCUACACCAGUAUCCUACUUCCUUGCAAUUCCAUGAAUUCGAUAACCGAAGCAACAGAGCAAGGGGAAGGAGACCAAGCCGUACCGGUUUCCGCCUGACGCCAUGAAGGCUGCUGACGCGGGAAGCAGCCCCAUUGCCCGAGGCCGACGGGGUCGCCUCCUGCGACCGCCCAGACGCGGUGGCCGCCGCAAAACGGCGGAACGCCGUGGCCUCGCUGGGCGCCCACGGCGGAGCCGCGUCCUCCUGCCUGCCGCCACUCUCCUCCAUAACCAACCAGCUCCUCCUCAGCUCUCACUGGCGCUCGGGGAGAUCUCCUGCCCGCCGCGCAGCACCCCGCCCACCACCACCUCCAAUCGCGACGAUCACAGCGUCCGCUGGAGCAGCCAAGCAGCCGCCGGAGGAAUCCAGCUCCAUCCCUAUGCUGCUGCGGCGGCGGCUGCCAUCCCAAUGCUCCCCGAUCCGACUCCUCCCCUCUCCUCCGGCGGGUGCGAUGGGGUCAAUCGGAAUUGGGGACGGCCAAGCCGGCGGGGGCGGAUAACGACUACAGGUUGGACUGGCCUGGACGCCGGAUUCAGGGGGAUCCCUUCGCAGGGUUAGGGAUUUGGGAUUGGGGGGAGGAACGCGGCGGCGUUGGGGGAGGAUGGGCGAGCGAAUCAACCACAAUCGCAGCAGGGGCCAAUCCCAAUCCCCUUCCUCGAUUUCUUCGGUUUCUUCCUUCCUCGCCUCUCUCUCCGCCCGUAUUUCCUCCUCCCCCUCUCUUUCCUUGCGGGAAAGAUAUACUUCCAGAUUUAAUUAGCUGCGAACCCGAUUUGAUAAAUAAUUAGCGAGGUGAUAAUACGAGCUAGCCGCGCCUAAAAUACCUAGAAAGUGCCUUAUUUUAUUCCUGCUGACCGCGCCGUUCUCUCGCCUGUGUACCUGUACCCAUGUGCCGUGCCGAUGUGUCCCUCCAUCUCUGCGGGUGGACCCGGGCGAAUCUGCGGUCAGGGACGGGGACGAGCCCGUGGGCGAUCCAACGGCGGGCGGGGCGCGAGCGCGAGCUGGGAAACGGCGGGGGAUGGGUGGCCCCCGCGUGUCAUGGGCGUGGAGCUCACGUGACGGAGGGUGGUGGCGCCCGAGGGCCACGUAGAGCUGCGUGGAGCCCGCGUGCCAUUGACGUGCGCGGUAGGGGAUGCCACCGUUGCCGCCUGCCUGCGCGCGCUCUCCCGGGAAACUGACCAGGUGCGGUGCACCGGCAAAAACGUCUAGGAGAAAGCUUUCUCGAUGGUGUCUAUCCGUCUAUUUCAGCACAUGGCAAUGAUGAGUGACGCAAGACGCUAGAAACAAAACACGGCAACAGGCGUGCCAUGCAAACAUGUACCGGAUAAAAAAUACUGUUUGGUGGCUGAUAAGCUGGCUGAUAAGAUGAAGCGAACAGAGAUUUUAAGUUACGUCCUACGAGGACACUGUUGCAGCCUGCAGGUAACAGUGUGCUCCUCUCUUCUUCGUCUUUUUGACAGUGCGCAUGUGUUAGACGAGAUGAAAAUAACGAGGAGUGAAUUUUUUGUGUCCGCCUGCGUGCCUGAGGUUGUCAUUAACAGCUCAGUAACAAUGAUAGUCAUCGAGAAGAAAAGAAAACAAAUACAACAAACGGAGAAGGGCCUCCAGUGGUAGAAGCAAGGUGAGAGCCGUGAGCCUUGCGGUUUUGUAGCGGCUCUCGAGAGCAUGAUGAUGGCGGCAAGGCGAGCAUGUAUGAAGCUGCGCGACGGCAAGGCCAGCACAGAUCGAUGCCAGCAUCAAUGCGCUAGGCCAACACCAAGCUAGUCAAUGCAACAUGUAUCCUUUUUCUUUAAGAACAGUGUAGGAGAUUUAACUUGCAAAAGAUUAUAUUUGUUUUGGGAUGGAUUAGAAGGAACAAUUAGCAAUAGGGUUUGAUUAUGCUAGAUGGAUCGUCGGGCAGGCAACAUUAUAUGCGAGGAAGAAAGCCAAUAGAAGUGCUUAAUCGGUUGAAGACUAAAGAGACAUGUGUGACUGAGUUGAACACGCUUGCAUGCAAGCAGUCAGACAAAUUAGAGGCAUACAGGCAUGCAGCAGAUAUGCGCUGGUCAUUGGGUGCUUCAAAAUUUCUCAGGAGGAAGGGGGCCAUUACCCUCUACGGUCAUAACGUAGCUCCGCCAAUGCCCGUAGCUGCUUAUCCUGAUCAAAUCGAAGCAUAUCAUUGUGUUUGGUUUCCUUGCCAUAUUAUUUGGGGACUCAUGCAAGCAAGAUUUUCCUUCCUAAAGUGACUGAGCCAAGAAAAAAAAACGCUCUUCGCGGCUGGCUAGACGAAGCUCGCCUGGCAAAGCAAGGCUAUAGGCAAGGCGGCCUCCACAAUCAAACUUACCAAAAAAUUUCAUUCUCAUAUCACUAGGUCAGAGGAUAACCCCAUGCUGAGCGCUAAGAAAUCAAUAUGUUUGCCCAUUAUACAUUUGCACCAAAAGAAAAAUUGGCAUCGUAACUCAAAUUUUUAGUUAUUUGUCACAACAAAGUAGACGGCAUCAUAUUUCAUGAAAGUAUACACAUUUUACCGGGGAAUACCAAAUCAAUGUAUUAAGUAUUUUAUGAUGGAUAUAAUAAAUUUGAUUUGAUUUCUAUAGAUGUUAGUGAAUUUCCAUAUGAACUCGGUCAAAAAUAGAGAAAUUUGACAUAAACAAACUAAACUAACUAAUAUUUUAGAAUGAGAAAUAUCCAUUAAACCUUAUAUAUGCUGCAUCUAUUUAUGUAUUUGUAUCUAUAAAUUUAUGCAACUUAUGAAUUGGAAUGUGUUAUUUGGCGAAUUAUUCUGCCUUUUACUUGCAAAAAAAACUUGAGUCCAUGGCAAUUGCUGGUUGUCUACAUGACCAUCAUUCAACCUUUUUUCUCUUUAGGCCCACAAUGGAGAGUCCGGUCCAGCCAAUGCUUGGGCACCAGCCCGCACCCAGACUGCAAUUCUCGGGUGAGGGAAGGGGCGCCGGGAACCUCUCGCCUUCGCUGGCGCCGCCGGCUCUCAGCACCAGCAGCACCGGAACGCGGCGGCGGCCACCCGCGCGGCACGCCGCCGCUGCCGCGGUACGAGGAGCCCAAACGCCGGCACCAGCUUCGCUUUUCCCGUACAGGCGCGUUGCGAAAAGCUCCCCCGCAUGCCUUUGGUCUGAAAAGCCUCCGUAUGCGGCAUCCCCUGCUCGGCACAUCUCUCGGCGAAGCAUCUCCUCCUGGAGCUAGAGAACCCCAGAGCCCUAGCGCAAGCCUCGGGCUCCAGAUCCCGGCUCUAGCCAUGUCGGCCUGGAGGCAAGCGUGGCAGUUCGCGGCCGCGCUGGUCUUCUUCCACGGCUCCGAGUACGUGCUCGCCGCCGCUUUCCACGGCCGCCGGAACGUCACCGCCACAUGUGAGUGCGCCAUGACUCGAUCUCUCUUGUGAUUCGAGCGUAAUUUGGACUGUGCUCGUGAAAUUUACUAGAUUUGAAAGUGGUGUGUCGAGUCAUCGAGUGAUUCCUAAAUCGCAACUCAGUUUCAUUACUAGUCUAGCGAUCCACUGGGUUGAAGCAAACCUGCGCGAGUAGGAUGCGCCAAUUGAACUGUGCUCGUGAAAUUUACUAGAAUUUGAAAGUGUCAAUGAGCGAUUACUUAAUUUUGCAGCUCAGUUCCGUUACCAGAUUCUAGCGCUUCACUGAGUAGUUGAAGCAAAUCCCUGUGCCAAUAUGUCUCGGCAAUUUCUCGCUUGGCUUUGAACUGACCUUUUGUUGUCUGUAUUCUGUUUAAUUUGACAUAAACAAGCUACCAAGUGUUAAUGUGUUAUACCCUAGUGAGUUCAGAAAAUGAGGAAUAUUUCGCAAUGGGCCAGGAUUUGUUUAAAGCACAAAAAUGGGCAAGUAUGAUCUAAGCGCAUCAAUGUAGUGGGUUUUCACAAAUGAAACCAUUAAAUGUGUUUAAUUGUAUAAAUUGAAUAGUUAAUGUUAACUGGGCUUCAGCAGCUUGCAUUCGUCCAGCUCAUGUAGUAUGGGAUCACACCAUAGUUUCCUUCAAAAACAGGGAGUAGGAUAAAACAGACAUUCAUGGUUCUCAUUUCAAAACACUAUGACAUCAGAAAUAAUUCCUGAAAAAGAACUUUAGCAUGACGCUGCUUUUGUUUUAAACUGCCCAUCGCAUAAAUCCCGGUUCCUUCGGCGAUGAAUAUAGGAAGAGUUCUCAAAGUUUUGCUGGUCUUUUGUGGACAAAUUGUCCAACCCUCCUAAAACGGAGGAUGAAUCGAUGUAUUUAAAUUAUUUAAAUAACAUGGCCAGAACCACUGAUUUGCAAUUGGUCACUGAUCAAACAGCAUAUGAAAAGGCAUCAGGCACACCUAUGUUGAUACUGGCGAUUGUUAGUUCUUCUUUUUGUCCUUAAUUCUUACAAUUGAGAUUGGACUUUACAUUAUCCUAACUUUAUUUUUGGCAGUGUUAUUAGUAAUAAAGUUACUUCUUGCGCAGCACUUCUUAUCAGCAAGCAGUAUGUAUUGGCAAUGAGCUUCGCAAUGCUGGAACAUCUGACAGAAAUCCUUAUCUUCCCGGAAAUAAAGGAGUACUGGUUUAUCAGUAAUAUUGGCCUUCUAAUGGUGCUUAUCGGUGAAAUUGUCCGUAAAGUUGCUGUUGUGACAGCUGGGCGUGCCUUCACGCAUGUUAUAAGAAUUUAUCAUGAAGAUCAGCAUCAGUUGGUUACCCAUGGGGUGUAUAGGUAAAAGAUUCCUUUUUUCAAGAUAUCCGACAUUAUUGUGUUACUUUGCACUAUGAAUAUUUGACUGUUUCAUUUGCUAAAUAUCCUGCUUAACGAUACAGGUUUAUGCGCCAUCCUGGGUAUUCUGGUUUUCUUAUAUGGGCAGUAGGAACCCAGGUUAUGCUCUGUAAUCCAGUAUCAACAGUUGCAUUCAUUUUGGUGCUGUGGCGAUUCUUUUCAAAACGGAUACCGUAUCCUGCUGAAACUUGUGUUUCCCUUGCUUAUGUUCUAGGCUCUCUGUCUUGAUUAUCGACCUUUUCAACCUUCUAAUUGUUUUCACCAUCUGCUGAAUAUGAACAUCUUCAUGAAAAGAGUAAAAUCAGUCCCCCUUUUUUCCAUGUGAUUCCUUCACUCAGAGCAGGUAUGAAGAAUUUUUCUUGAGGCAAUUCUUUGGCUCUGAAUACGAAGAAUAUGCGCGGAGAGUGCACUCUGGCUUACCAUUUAUUAAGUGAGAGCAUCACACUUGCAAAGUAUGUGCCUGAAUCAUUGACUUUUAAGUUUUCAUUUGAUACCAUGUGCUUCAAAUUUAAGAUCUAACUAAUUGUUGUAUCACAUCUCUUUAGUAGUCAAACCUCAAGGUAGUGCAUAUAGCACUGGUGAAUACAUGCUUUCUCUCAUAUAAGAAAGAAAAGUUGAACAAUUAACAUGUCAUAGUUCUGUUGUUUUUCUUAGAAUAACACGAGCAAUUUUUUGUGGUUUUUGAGUCCUUACCCAUAAUCAUGGCUAUGUUUGUGCGCAAUAACUUCUCACAACUAUAUUUUCACAUUUAGAGUGUUUUUUUGCAAUGUUUCUGAAAGCAUGUAGUUCAUGACCGAACCUAGGCUUGUGGAUUGAUAUCUCUCAAUUUCAGUUUGCACUUGGCUUCUGUAGCAGAGACAGCUCAUAAUUUGUUUUCUACAUUUAUCGUUACUCUGAAGAAAAAUAUUUACAUGAUCCACUUGUAAGAUCUCAAAUAAAGUAAUAUUCAAAUGAGUGUGCCAUGAUCUGCACUUCAGACCUUCAGUAAACAUGUGUUACAGUCUUUGUGUGGUGGCCAUUAGCAAAAAAAAAAAUUUCUUGUUCUUCGUUAAAUGGACGUGAAUCUGGGAACAUGAUAUUGAUAUGUAUGCUUGAUUUUUGGUAUAGGUGUGCUGCCUCUUGCUGUUGUCACAUUGAUAUGUCAAAGUAAAGCAUCAAACAAUAUGAAAUCAAGAGAUAACAAAGAAAGGAGCCAUGAGAUGGAUCUCAUACAAUACAAGACAAAUCAGAAAUUUAUAGUCUGUAGUCAAACAGAUGAGUCAUUCAUCAGCUCAUAGAUCUUGUGCAAAUUUUGAGCUGUAACUCAAGCUUUUUUCCACCUUCAUAGUGAUGUUCACUCACAGCUACAACUUGUGGAAGCUCCCGCUUCAUUAGAUUUGAGCUGGACAGUUUAAGGUAAUGUUUACAAUUUGUUGUUCUUAACACCACUUUGUCUUGUGUGCGAAGCAUAUACUUCGAAUGUGCUGCUUAUCUUUGGACCGACAUGUUGAAGAAACUUCCAUAGAAUCUGAAAAUGCUGCAGUUUUUUCCCUGUGGUACACAGGCACACAGCUAAAAGUCGAACAAUGUAAAUUAGCCAAUGUAAAAGCCUAGGAAUGUGAACAAUCUGGAAAAGUGCCUUAUUCAGCCAAUAGAAACCCUUGGAAGUUGCCUGGCUAUUGGAAGAAUCCUAUUCUCUCAAGCGGUUGCAGGAAGUCAACAGCAGGAACCUAGCAAGGCCGCGCGCAAGGCUUGGACGCUUGGUUUGGUCGGAAAGCACCCGUGCAACGUGCAUCCAUCCUACCAGUCGGUCCACACUGAGCCACAAUGUUUGAGCUGAUGCCUGAUCCAAGUUUGUGUAUAGCUAAAAUUCGAAUGGAUUUGUUCUAAUUGCACCUAAACUUCAGCACAUUCUUUUAGCCUGCACCCCCAACUAAAUUAUUUUGAUGCAAAUGCUAUUUUUUAAGGAUAAGACUUCCUACAACUAACCCCCUAAAAUCUCUCAAAAAAUCAUAAAAAGCGUGCCACUCGUCUUCGGUCUUCCUGCUGCGCGCUUAUAAAUACUUCUCCCACCUUUCCUCUCUCUACCAGUCCACUCUCGCUCCGACUCUCACGCUCUCUCGCCGGCCGCAGCAGUCUAGCAACUAACUUGCCGUUAAGUGAGCCGGUGAGGACAUGGCCGCCGCCACGUCGUCGUCGUCUCCGCCAACGCCGCAGCGUUCGUCGUCCGUGGAGCGCACGAAGGGACCCACUGGCCUCGAGAAGAUCGUGCUCCGCGAGGCGCGCGGCUGGUCCGCGGAGGUAACCAAUUCAAUCGCCUCCAACUUCCUUCUUUUCCAGGUCGAUUUUGGGGGGCGCAUUCGCGCGAAUUUCAUAGAGGCUUGGAGCGAUCUGCGUAGAGAGUGUGCAGUUUGCCGAGGGGAUUUCACUUUUUUAAUCAGAUGAUUUAGCGGUGCCAUCUUUCUAGUAGGUGGAUCAUUCAUGAGUGUUUUUUAUGGCUAAUUUUUGCGACUAUUCCACCGAGAAAAGGGAUGUUGUGCUUUGGUCAUGCAUCGCUGUGACAUUUAUUUACAACUCGAUAUGUGGACUGUGAAAAGUGAUGGUGAAAGAUUUCAAAUAUUAUGAGGGCAAUCGCCUCUUGGAAUCUAGUGGCGGACGACGCACCGACUAUGCAACUUGAAAGGGAAAAGGGCCUAGGCUAUGCCCUUUCGUUUUCAAGAUGGAUGAUCCUCAGGUUGCUGGAAUUUGGUCAGUACACAUUUGAUGGCCUGUAGGAUAGAAGGUGCUAGACUUCUUGACUGCAGAGGAUAGGAUAGCAACUUUUUUCAUGAUAGGAUGGAGGAACCGCGGUGAAUUUGCGUUUUUAGUUCUAGCGUGUUUGGCUGCGUGGCCAUAGACCAUGAUUAAUUAAGAUUAAUAUGAUUAUGUGUUAUGCUUGUAUUGGUGAAGUUGCCCAGCACCAAAUGCAUAUCGUAUCAAAGCUCGUAACAAAACUUUGCUAUGAUCUGUGGAACUAGCAUCGCAGAGGAGGUAAGCCAUGAUGAGUAGUUGAGCCUUUAGUGCCAUCCAGCUGUUUAGAUAAAUCUUUUGUUUUCUAAGCCUUGACACACUAAUUAGUUAACUAUUUUAGUUUAAGGAGGCUCCAAACUUCUGCCAGUGGGUGUCAAAUGUCGUUCUAGCUGGCGUUUUCUUCUCCAUCUUUUUUUUUUAUCCAGGUCUGUAAGUGUAGUAGUGUACCCAUGUACCAAAAGCCAAAAGGUAAAUCCUUAUGGGGAUUUGCACGGGACCUACAUGAAUUAUGUUGUCUUUUGUGCUAGAUCAGGCUUUCAAUCUAGUAGGCUGUAGCUAAUCAAUUAUGUUGUCUUUUGCAAGGUCCAUUUAUACGGAGGUCAAGUAACCUCUUGGAAGAAUGACCAUGGAGAUGAGUUACUUUUUGUCAGCAGCAAGGUGCAGAAGCAUUCAAGAUGUCAUGGAUGACCUCAUUGGUUAAUAUCUUAAUAUAUUAGUAUACCGUAGAGGAAAAAGAACUUGCAUGAGAAGCAUGGGCGCUGCAUCCCUAUCAUCCUUCUCCAUACCAAAUAAUUUUGUCAUUAAUUAGAUCUGAUCCGAACAUAUUUUCACCAUAUUCUCAUUUUAUAAUGAGUCCUUUUGAAAUAACUACAAACUGCCGCUUCAUUUUCUCAUGUAUUUGUGAUCCUAGCCCUUUUACUCUCUAAUAGUUUCUUUUUCAUGAACCGAUGAUUAGCCCAACUAAAUAGGAGACCCUAGGCACUGUUUAAAGAAAUUUGUUUGAUUAUUUAUUUUUCUAUGUGUUUCUGCACUAAUAGUAGCAUCUCUUCCUUUUCAGGCCAUUUUCAAGCCUCCAAAAGCAAUCCGUGGUGGAAUACCUAUUUGCUUUCCCCAAGUAUGGCAAGUUCAUCUUUAUUUUCAUAAAUCCAUGCUAAAAGAAAACUGGCUGCUUGAAUUUUAAAAAUUGAAAUGGACCAUUUAUAUGCAGUUUGGAACACAAGGAAAUCUUGAGAAACAUGGAUUUGCAAGGAACCGUUUCUGGGCUAUUGAUGAUAAUCCUCCACCUUUUCCAGUAAACACUGCUAUAAAAACUUUCGCUGAUCUCAUUCUGAAGCCUUCUGAAGAAGAUCUCAAGGUUUGGCCUCACAGGUUCGUGUUAGACCAUCCUUUGAUUCGUGUUGUUUUUCUUUUAUGCAGUACAUGUCUGAUUCUGCUCCUCAUCUAUCUUUGAAUAAAUUAUGACUUGCAGCUUUGAAUUUCGAUUAAGAGUUGCUCUUGCACCUGGAGGAGAUUUGAUUCUCACUUCUCGAAUAAGAAACACCAACAUUGAUGGAAGAACUUUCUCAUUUACAUUUGCAUAUCAUACAUACUUGUCUGUAUCAGACAUAAGGUAUGUACCCUUUUUUAAUCAAUUGCUUCCCCCUUUUUCUCAGAUUUCCAUUCAGAUAUUGUAAACUGAAACUUCUCCAAGAGUCUGGAACUGGAAUUGUGGACCUUUCAUCCGUGACUUUCCAGUGAUAUGUGUUCAAUUUACUUGUAAAUGCCUUUGAUAGGCUCAUAUGUAUUAUGCUUGUGGCAUUUGUAUUGUACCGAGCUUGGCUAAUGCAAAACCUGUUUAGAAGCUGCUGGCAAGCACGCUGGUUUUAUACAACAGUUUUAAUGCAGGCACACACCAAACUUUUAGAUCACAGGCGACAGUUCCUGUACUUUAGUUCUAUAGGUAAGGAGUGAGCUGAAGUUGGAGAGAAUAGGCAUUAACAGACAUUUAAUAUCAUAUACUUCUUGUCAAUUAAAGCACAUAUCUGUUCAAACUGUUGAGAGUUCAAAUGGUUUUCGCUUGCUUACUCAAGCCACAAAUAUCCCCAGUGAAAUACGCGUUGAAGGGCUGGAGACAUUGGACUACUUUGACAACCUGAACGAGAAAGAACGAUUCACAGAACAAGGAGAUGCAAUUGUGUUUGAAGCAGAGGUAACCAAACUAGUUCAAUGUCACAUGUGAAACUAGAUUGCUGAUUUUUAAGUAUUUUUUUGUGGUGAAGGUUGACAAAAUAUAUCUAGACGCACCAUCAAAAAUUGCAAUCAUUGAUCAUGAGAAGAAAAGAACAUAUGUUUUACGGAAAGAUGGAC
Molecule: long non-coding RNA, 18705 nt
Filed under: Setaria viridis
Lineage: Eukaryota; Viridiplantae; Streptophyta; Magnoliopsida; Poales; Poaceae
Description: long non-coding RNA (SVIR_LNC008450)
Source: RNAcentral